Molecule: transfer RNA, 73 nt
Filed under: Trichobilharzia regenti
Lineage: Eukaryota; Metazoa; Platyhelminthes; Trematoda; Strigeidida; Schistosomatidae
Rfam family: tRNA
About the family: Transfer RNA (tRNA) molecules are approximately 80 nucleotides in length.
Source: Rfam by way of RNAcentral
GGCUCCGAAACUCAGUCGUUAGAGCGUCAUGCUAAUACCGCGAAAGUCGAGGGUUCGAUCUCCUCCGGAGCCA